Molecule: RNA transcript, 5420 nt
Organism: Acanthopagrus latus (yellowfin seabream)
Lineage: Eukaryota; Metazoa; Chordata; Actinopteri; Spariformes; Sparidae
Gene: c13h5orf24
Gene name: chromosome 13 C5orf24 homolog
Exons: 3
Source: RefSeq, a predicted model, not a curated record
AUGUAGUUCAGGAGGGGAAGGAGGAGAAGCCUCUUCACGUCCUCCCUCCCCACUGUUCGCUGCUCUGCGCAUGCUCAGACUGCGCUCCCGUCUUAUUAAUUUUUAAUGGAAAAUGGCUGCGUUUCUCAUCCAAACCGCUGGAGCUGGGAUAUGAAAAAAAAAACUGCCUGUGUGAACCAUUUCACAUCUCGUCCAUAAACAAUCCGACGUGCUGAUUAAAGUCCAUCCGGCCGACUGUCCUGCGGCGCGACAACAAUCGUGGGGGAGGAAAAAAAAUGGAUCGACUCUCGCUUUGAGGGAUGAAAGAUCAUUUUUCUCCUUAACCCUUUCUGCUCCGAGAUCUGCGAACAAUCGAGAAGAUGAUGCGUCAGGUAACCAGCAGUGAUUUCUGCAUGAAUAGCAGGCCGUCAUGCCUGGCAGAGGACGGACACCACCCCGCCUCCCACUUUGAACUGUGCACCUCCCAGUCCAACAAGUUCUACCCUCCUCCCCCGUCCCUCCAGAUGACGCUGGGUCCCAUGGCUUUGCCCACCCAGAGCCACAAGCCCAUGGUGUGCCAGAGACAGGAGGUGCUCGGGGGUGACCCCCGCUCGCCUGGAAAAAUACCCGGCGUUAAAAGCACUGAUCAAGCAGCGGAUGACGGCAAGAAGAAGAACAAGGCUGUGGGGAAGACAGGUAGACGCGGUAGGCCUUUGGGAACCACCAAGCUAGCCGGAUACAGAACCAGCACAGGUCGACCCCUCGGCACCACCAGAGCUGCUGGAUUCAAGACGAGCCCGGGAAGGCCGCUGGGUACAACCAGAGCGGCGGGAUACAAGGUCAGUCCUGGUCGGCCUCCCGGCAGCAUCAAAGGCGUCUCACGCCUCAACAAACUGGCUUAUGGCAGCACAUGCAGCGGCGCGGCUUUCCCCUAUCCUCUACCACACAAGGAAAUCCUCUGUGAACCUUCCUGCAAAGAGAAGACAGCUAAUGAGUAAAAUCUCUGUCUGUUUCUACUCACCCUCCAUCAGCUGAAGAAAGAGACACAUGAGCGCAGGAUUCCUGCCAGAUACUGGUGGUGAUUGUAAUCUGUACCAGUCUGCUGUGAGGCUGCAAGGAGGAGAUUUUCUAUUAUUCGUGUUGGUGUCAUCCGUGUGCCUGCCACCUGAUAUAAUACUGUUAGUUUUUCGGUGCAACUGCUGGAGAACUAUGGUGUGUGGAAGCUUUCACUACACGCUGCUGUGUCUGGUUUCUUAGCGGGAAAAAAAAGUAAUGCCACAUGAGCAAGAAGUUUUAUGUUACUAACUGUAGAGGUAUUUCAGUGUGCUUCAUGAAGCAUUUUAACACAGCUGAGUGAUGGAAACAUUCAUUUUAAAAUGUUUUAUUACUGUAAACAAAGGAGGCCAUCAUGAGAAGACGACCUGAGCUGAGCUGGACACACAUUUUACUCUCAUGUUCAUCACACUACAGUUUGAGUUCCUUAUUAUCUAAUGUCGUUGGAUAUUCGCUCUCAUUCUUGCUCUUUAAACAAACACAAGCAAAGCAAGAAAGGAGGGAAACACUGACACGUAGCAACAUUGCCUUUGCAACAGGAUGUUUGCUGUAAAUAUAGUCUUUCAUUUAAAAAACUAAAUGCUAUAUGUAGCACCUUUGUAAUGUGUCAUAUUCGUUAGACUCCGGAUUGAAUCUCUUUAUUUUGAGUGUUCUGCUUUUAAGAAGAUUCAGAGGAACAGUUGGGGGUCAAGUGCCUUGCUCAGUGGCACUUCAAAGACAGAUGUACAGAUAAUCCUCAGAAACCCAAUUGAUCCAACUUUUUCCACCCUGCACCAGAAUCAACACUGACAAAACAUGACUCCUGCUAAUAUGAUAUAUAGUUCACUCUCUAAAUGUCACCCUGUCUACAUAUUAUCUGCAUGCAAAUGUCAUCAAAGCAACUAAAUCAACAUACAGAUUGUUGUGAGGAAUAAGACUUGUAUCCAAGUUUUUUUUUUUUUUAACCAAAAGUAUAAAACGUAAAGAAUGCACAAACAUUCCCAUCAACACAGUUUACCUCCUGCUUUUCUUCUAACCGGCUAACGUGGACAGUUUUGUCUUGUUGCUCCUUAAUCACCUGUAAAUGUUUAGAUGAACUGUGUUUGUAUGCUCUGCCGCUCCUUACAGUCAAAUCUAAGGUAUUUUGAUCUCGACCGCAAGACAGUUUACAACCCCGACCACCAAUCUGUCAGCUUGCCUCGAUCUCAGUGUCUUUUAGAUGUAAAUUUAGAUAAAUUCUUUAUUAGAUAUCAAAAUCUUAAAUGUUAUAACUGGCUCAGCACAAAGCAGCUAAAGAAGAGGUUUGCUGAAAGUCUUAAAUUGGCAACAUUUUGAUUUAUAUUAGGAAAUCAGUAUCAAGACUAAACCAAAAGGCAUUCAAUUUCAACUUUCGAUAUCUGACAGUGUUUGGUUCUCGUUUGUACAGAACAAUGGUUCUUCUAACAUGUUCUCGUCACGUUUUAGAUGGUGCGUAUCUUUUCUGUUAUUCAUCAAAACCACUAAUUGCAUCAUUUGGUGUAGAAUUGGAUAUAAACAUAGAUACUGGGCAGAAUUCAAUAUAUUUUUCUUUAAACUUUUCCCCCAUUUGUCCCAGUAAAAAUUCAAAAUGCAGUCUUAUCUGUUAUAUGAAUGUGUCUCUGAAUGCACUGACUUUGCUUGAUCUGGCACUUAAUAUCGUAGUUACACAAAAGCAUUAUUUUUUUGAUGUCAUAUUUGUGUGAACCAAAGCCUCAAAGAUCUUAUUUGUGGUUGUGCUUAAAGAAAAAGAAAGUACUUGAGAUGCUUUUUUAAAAUUUGCAUUUUAAAGCUGAACCAUAAACAGAUGAGACCAUCGCUGACAAGACUGUCAGCAGCUGCUGGCCUCUAUUCUGUGUUCCUGCACUGUGAGCCAGCAGGUUGUGUUUGUUGGGGAAGCUGCAGGUGGUGCUGUUCCUCCAGAGCUAACAGCCAAAGCUGUUGGAGCUUCAUUAGAAGCAGAGGGGAGCAGUGAACAGGCCAUUAAACAUUUCUACAUUAUAAAGUAAGAGUACAGAUCACCAGACUUUACAGUUUUGAUUUUUAAAGAUGGCGAGGUCAGAUCAUGUCUGUUUUCAAUGUUUCUACUUAUUAUGUUGUUUUAGGUACAUUACCACGGCCCUGUAGAGAACUUGAAUCUGACUGUUGGUGAAGACUUAAUAAUUAAUAAGAAUAAUUUAGUGCAAACAAGCGUAAAACAGAAUAGAGAGACACAAUUUUAAGUAUAAAUCACAAAGGAACAGUUCAGCCAAAGUUAAAAUUCAGUCAAUAUCUUCUCCACUCCCUGAUGAUGGACACUGAGAUCAAGUUUCCACGAAACGUUUCUUGAGCUUCAAAGCAAAAAAAGAAAGAAAGACAAAGGAAAACAACAACAUGAAAUGUCUCCUUAUAGCUUGUCCAGUAUAAUACAAAUUACUGGAAGCCCAAAGAUCCCAAAUUGAUUUAGACGACUUUAUUUAAAGCCUUUCUUAACAUCAGUUCCUCAGUUUGUAUUUUGCUGUGAAGCUCCAAAAAUGUUUUGUCGACUAUGAAAAUUCACCCGACUAACUGAAUUUUCAUUUUGGACUGAACUGUUCCUUUAAAACUUGCACCAGUGAACAUUCAGUUUUUGGUAUUAUAUUUAUAUACAGGCAUUUCAAACCCUGAUAGUGAGGAGACAGUAUUUCUUCAUUGUGUUACUCUCUCGUGACAAAACUUAAAACAUUUCAAAUUUGGUGCAAUAAUCUGUUGUACGUAUUGUACUGUGAAAACUUUGAUACUAUCACUUUUUAUUAUCGUUGUAUUUUUAUACUUGAGUAGAACUCAUUCUGUCACUUGUUUUGUUGAUGUGUGUGGUGUUAACAAAGUUUACUGAAACGUCAGAUACAGUACAAACAUCCUUUUCACCUCCUUGACCAAAGAAUAUGAUGUUAUCUAACCUGUAAGCGUUUAUGCUAUUUGACUUUUAAAAAGACUUCAACAUCUCACACGUUAAUCUUGGCAUGAAAAUUACUGUGUAGAUCAUAAAUGAAGAAGCACUUGGAGACCAUGAUCCCAUAAAAGAUAGUCUGAUUGUUUGGAUUAGUAAAAUAAACCUUUAAAUUGUUUCAUAGUAAGCAGGUCUUUUGAAUGCAUUGUAAAUUGCUAUGAUGUAAACUUAUUUCCUUGCAUUUUAUUGUAUUUAUAUUCAUCAGUUAUUCUACUUUGAAAGUAGUUCUCUUUUUGUAUAAUUCUUAUGUAGCCAUGUUUGAUAUUUAACUAAAGGUCAUGGCUGACAUGAUUCCUGGUUGUCUCAUAUUCUGAAUUUUGGGUUUUGUUUUUUUAAUAUAGGUUUUGUUGGUUAUCAGUUGCAUGUUAUCAGGCCCAGCAGCUUUACUCACAUUCACUCGCAGCUGUUUUUUUCUCAUACCCACUGUGGAUAAUGACAAUGGGCGGUCGUCGUGAGGCAGAGUAGACCAUAAAACGGACUCACUGACGUUGAAGCGAGCAUAAAAUGUUUCAGUUCAUCUGGGAGCGUCUUCCUCCUGCAUUGCUAAUGAUCGCCGGCCACAUAUCUUUAAUGGUGUUGGUGUUGCAUUUGCUUUUUUGUAGGAUCCAGUUGCACAUGAUGAGGUGGAGCCUGAUGGGAUAGAAAUGCUGGAGGGAUGCACCAUUAGCAGGCUUCAGCUCCCAUGAGGCUUCGACAGAGGAACAGUGACGAGCCUCUCUGCCACUAACUUGUAGAAAUCCACACAAUCUUUCAUUGAUUGCAGAUUUUCCGAUCCAAAAUGAAAAAACCUUUAAGAGUGUGAUUAAUCCAGUAUUUGCAGUCUGUUAUGUGUGACUACAUUUGUGAACAUCUUUUUUUACUUUGUUGCUUUAAGUUGUUCUCUGAAAUACUAUUUUAAAUAUUUGGACAAGCUGUAAAAUCAUAUAUAUGUGACAAAAAUAUCUCUUUCAUGACUUUUGUUACUUGAUGGAAUUCUCUGACAUUCUGGGUGCCGACCCUCCAAAGAGGACAUCGUAGAAGGGAGAAGAGACAAAGGGAUGAUUAUGAAAAGUAGAUCACCUAAAACAAACUCACUGACACGAUUCAUUUAUUGAUAUAUUUGUCAUUUUUAUUUGUGAGUUACAUCAGUGCUGACACGGGGCACAGGAAUAUGAUAGUUUAAGUUAUUUCUGCUUUUUUUUAUCAGUUUAUUUGUGAUUUGUGUUUUUUCUCUCACCAUCUUCAGCAUUCAAUCAACACACAGUCUGUUGUCUGUAGACGAUGAUUUCCAAAAAUAUUACCUCACAUUUUGAAGACGUGAAGCCCAGUUAUUCCUGAAGUGUGAUUGGUGGAAGCCUGUAAAGCUUUGUAUUAUUCCCAUUUUACUCCUGCAUGAUUGUUGUGGAAUGUUACAAAAAAGUUGUGUAAUAAAUCUGAAAGUAACACA